Molecule: ribosomal RNA, 301 nt
Filed under: uncultured bacterium
Lineage: Bacteria
Description: partial 16S ribosomal RNA
Rfam family: Bacterial small subunit ribosomal RNA
Source: RNAcentral
CAGCAGCCACGGUAAUACAGAGGAUGCAAGCGUUAUCCGGAAUGAUUGGGCGUAAAGUGUCUGUAGGUGGCUUUUCAAGUCCGCCGUCAAAUCCCAGGGCUCAACCCUGGACAGGCGGUGGAAACUACCAAGCUGGAGUACGGUAGGGGCAGAGGGAAUUUCCAGUGGAGCGGUGAAAUGCGUUGAGAUCGAAAAGAACACCAACAGCGAAAGCACUCUGCUGGGACGACACUGACACUAAGAGACGAAAGCUAGGGGAGCAAAUGGGAUUAGAUACCCCAGUAGUCCCUGUCUCUUAUAC